AUACGGAGGGUGCAAGCGUUGUUCGGAAUCACUGGGCGUAAAGGGCGCGCAGGCGGUUUGGUAAGUCAGAUGUGAAAGCCCACGGCUCAACCGUGGAAGUGCAUUUGAAACUGCCAGACUUGAGUACCAGAGGGGAAAGUGGAAUUCCCGGUGUAGAGGUGAAAUUCGUAAAUAUCGGGAGGAAUACCGGUGGCGAAGGCGACUUUCUGGCUGGAUACUGACGCUGAGGCGCGAAAGCGUGGGGAGCAAACAGGAUUAGAAACCCUAGUAGUCC
This 274-nucleotide ribosomal RNA is filed under the name uncultured bacterium. RNAcentral describes it as "partial 16S ribosomal RNA". It matches the Rfam family "Bacterial small subunit ribosomal RNA", at positions 523 to 796 of the family's 1533-position model. The record is from RNAcentral.